AAAGGAAGAAGAUCUAAGAAUGCUUCUUUAAGAAGCUUUCUUGAUGGAGGGGAGUGGCAGACGGGUGAGUAACGCGUGGGAACAUACCCUUUUCUACGGAAUAGCUCUGGGAAACUGGAAUUAAUACCGUAUACGCCCUACGGGGGAAAGAUUUAUGGGGGAAGGAUUGGCCCGCGGUGGAUUAGCUAGUUGGUGGGGUAAAAGCCUAACAAGGGGACGAGCCAUGGCUGGUCUGGGAGGAUGAUCAGCCACAUUGUGAAUGGGACACGGCCCAAAGUCCUACGGGAGGCAGGAGUGGUGAAUAUUGGACAAUGGGCGAAAGCCUGAUCCAGCAAUGCCGCGUGUUUGAUGAAGGCCUUAGGGUUGUAAAGCUCUUUUACCAGGGAUGAUAAUGACAGUACCUGGAGAAUAAGCUCCGGCUAACUCCGUGCCAGCAGCCGCCGCGG
Molecule: ribosomal RNA, 446 nt
Filed under: uncultured bacterium
Lineage: Bacteria
Description: partial 16S ribosomal RNA
Rfam family: Bacterial small subunit ribosomal RNA
Source: RNAcentral